GCUCAUAGAAGUGAGUGAAUUGACAUUGAUGCCAACAUGAUUAUCGCUUAUAUCGCCAAACUCUUCGUUUUUGAAGACAUCGAACUUCACGCCAAAGACAUGGUUCGUCGAAUUCCCAUCGUUGGUACGGUUGAGAAAGCCUAGAUGUUGAGAAGAAGUGGCGCCUUCGAUGCCGGUGACUGGUGCAAAGAGGAAAACGAUGCCAUGGCCGGGAAGAAUGUCCUCGUAAGGUGCAAUGGAGAAGAUGAACGAGGUGGAAAAAGGAACCACAUCGGAGGAAUUCGGCGAUUUUGCAGGGAUUUUCGAUGGGUAAAGAGCUCUACCAAUUGCGAAGCUAGUCUGGUUCGUAAGAGUGAGAACGCGAGAUUCAAUGUCGGCAACACCGUAGAGUAGCAUAUCAGAGGAAUUGAAGCCGUUGAAGACGAAAUCUUCAGCGGAUGCUGAUCCGAAGAAAGUUGAAAUGGAAAGUAUGAGGAGCAGAAGAGGGUGGUGUCUCUUCAUAUUGCAGCAGAGCAGAAGAAUAACGAAGAAGAGCAGAUACGGCUCUCAUGUAUGAUAUAUGAAUGGAACAGAGAUAGGGAGAUAAGCAGAGAUUCUGAAGGAGUAUUCGAGUUUUCUUGGUCAAACGUUUGUGAUUCAUGGGAUUUGGGUUUUUUCUUCCAAUACUCCAAUAUCUACGAAGGUGGUAUAUUUCCCCUUGUUUCUAUUUUUUUAGGGGUCACUCGAAAGAAGUUCCCAAAAGCCAAUAGUCAUAACUCUGACCAAACUUCCACUGGUUGUAAUCAUGCCACCUAAGACAAUGGAUUUUGAUAGGGGCAGGGGACUAGGAAAGCUAAAAAUAGCAGCAGAAGAUGCUUCCCUUGGUGAGUGGGUGACCCCUCAACUCUCGUCUGCCAAAUUUGAAAAAUUGAGCUCUCACCAAAAUCUCAUUUUUCCUCACCGACUCCAUCAAGGGUAUGUCUGGUUAUUUCUCAAACAAUAAACCCCAAAUCUCAUCAAUUCAAGGCCAAGAACAAAGCUGGCAGCUAGGCAGCUAUGAUCCGUUCGACGAAAGUCCCCAAAGAGAAAUGAGAACACAGAACAUGUAGUUGACUCCCAUACCUCAUUGCCCACGUAAGAAUUUUUGUACGGAGUCAACCUGGCGGCCGCGUACGGCAGCUCUUCCCCUCAAUAUAAAUAAUAUUUUGACUUUCUCAAAUGUGAACUCAUUAUACUUUACACUUUGCGCUGAUCCAAAGCCAGAAUUUCGCGUCAUUCCAGUUGUUGUUCUCUCCAAAAUUUUAAUUUUCAAAGUUUAAAUUAUACUUUUAUAUGAAGUUGCAUGUAAAGAUGGUAGGUUUCGGAUUCAGAUUUUUCAAAUACUCAUCCCAUCUUGUUUCUAAUAAAACAAUUAUAAAAUAAAUAUAAACAUAUUUAAAACAGGUUUGAAAAUUCUUUUAUAUCUCGUAUUGAGAUAUGAUUUUAUCUUAUUGAUGUAUGAGCCCGUCACAAUUUUUUAUUUUUUUUUUCUUUGAAUAUGUUAACGUACACGUUUGUCUACGUGCAAGUGCAAGUGGAAAAUAAAAUAUUAUGUCAAAACAAGGUUGUCAUGCUUUAAUUAUGAUUUUAUUGAACUUUUGCAACCAUAUAUUAUACAAAAUGGGUCACAUAUAGGCCAAAAAAAAUUUCCAAUUUAAUAAACCUUCGAUGUUACUAAUUUUAAACAUAAUUGAAAAAUAAAUUAAAUAAAUUUAAAUUUUAUAAAAUAAGUUGUAAACUUUGAAAAACUUGUAAGUAGGCCCAUAGUCAUUAUAUCAUCAUAGUGUUUUGAUAACAAAGUUUACAAUUAACAAAAGGUUCAAUUAAAGAGGAAUAAUUCUAACAUAAUAAAGAUUUAAAAGAGACAAAAAAAAUAAUUAAAAAAAAGGAAGAAAGAAGAGAUGGUUAUAAUUCCAAGUAGGUGAACCCUCAAGAUCAAGGGCCCAUGAUAAGGCAGAGUGGGGAUAGGCAAUUACAUUAUUUGAGAGGGUCUUUUGCAUUUUAAUUAUGAAAGGUGGUGGGAUUGAAAUUCAUGUCACAUGACAAAGCAUAAUUGCAUGAUUGGAGCAUCUUUCCUUGUAAUUGUUUGUGCCUAUUACUCCUUUUUUUUAUGAAAAAUAUAAGACUUAUUCAACCUCAGAUGUUAAUUAUUAUAUAUGAAAAAAAAAAAACAUUUCGGGUUACCUUUUAAAACAAAUUGAUUAUUUUAUUGAUAAAUUUUUCAUCUCAAUUUGUGAAUAAAAUUAUAAGUACAAAAAUCACUUUGUUUUCACAACACAAAAACCUUAACUUUUAUUGUCAAGAAGAAAAUAAGAAAAUUUGAAGAGAGGGACUUUUUUAAAAAAAGAAGAAUUAUUAUUUUUUUUUUUAAUUUUCUUAGAAAGAGAAAGAAAGAAGAAUUGUGUUCUUUCUAUUUUUUCUAAGAGAGAAAGAUAAUUUUUUUUCUUUUUUUAAUUUAUAAUAAUAGUUUCUUUUGAUAGUUUUAGAACUCUCAAAAGAAACUGAUCGAAACCAUGCCCAACCCUAACAACAUAUUAUACAAAAAAAAUAUAUAUAUAUACAUCAAUAAAUGAAAAUACAAAUAAUAAGAUUAAUAUACAAAAAAUGAGAUCAUAUAAAAAAAAUAGGAUUAAAAUAUAAAGAAAUAAAAUUAUGGUACAAAAUAAUAAUACUGAUUGUUCACACUUUUUGAUACAUAUCUCUUUUAUACUAUUCUCCUAAACACUUUGAAAAUAGCAGGAAGAAGGUGCGUUUCGGCCUAACUUGAAGACCAACAUAUGAAAGGAGAACAUUUUUGACACAACAAUCUGUGGGUGUUUCUCAUAACCACCUACUGUAUUACUUUUCAUGGCUUACUCUUCCAUGAUGAAAAUUCAAUGCCUGCACUUUUAGAAUUUAACAUGUUGGGAGAUAAACUUUGAUUAAGCUUCUGAAUUUUUUUGUAGCUGAUGUGACCACAGGUUCAUCGCAAGUGACUGAUAUGUGCAAUUUUUGUUGGCACAGUCACAGUUACCCAUCCAUGAUGUACAAGUAAUAUUGGUCCCACUCUCUUACACAAAAAGGUGUAUUCAAAAUUAAGGGUAUGUUUCUUCCAAAAAAGGGAAAAUGGACGUCAUGUGUGGUAGGGUAUGUAUACCUUUAGCAGGUGCAGGUGUAGGAGGCUUUGUUGCAACCAAUUACUCUCCCUUCCCAAGUAUUGGAAGGGAUAACAUAGAAGUCAUUUCCGUUAUCCUCAAUGUUUGAAUACAAGUACUUGAUGUAAAGAUAACCUUAAUAUUAAUUUGACCAAGUUUUGUUCAUGGAGAAAGAGGCUUUUUGAUUUUUCUAUGGGUCCAAAAGAUACCAGCCGUCCCACUUUGGGUGGUCUAGAUACUUGGCCAUAUUUGAUUAUUUGGAUUUGGUGCUCAAAUUCAAAUUGCAAACAAUUAAAUAGGAGGUGAAAGGUGAAGUGAAAUUUAGAGCAUUGACUGAUGAUAUAAAUAAACGAGACUAAAAUACAAUGGACUAAAAAUUUGAAACCAAAUUACCUAUUUGGAUGGUUGGAAUGGUACCAUGGUGGCACACUAUGCCCAAACCAGAUAAGGUCGAAUUGGAUUACUCUUUCAAAAACCCUCAUCGAAAAUUAAAUCACUAAAUUCAAAUAAAAUAAUAAAAUCUAUGUGAAAGAUGAUGAAAGCUUUGAGCCAAAUUCAAGCCCACACAAAGCAGACUAUUCACAAAGGGAGGAAGGGAGAGAGAGUCAAAUGCCAAUGAGGCUGAAUUCAUUACUUGCUCAAAUGGGAGAAUAGAAAGUCAAUCACGAGGGCUUCUUGCCCUCAAUUCAACUAGGUAACAAAAAUUUCUUCUACCCAAAUGGAAAUUUAGUUAAGAUGCGACAGUUACAUUGCAUAAGACAUGGAAGAGAUAAUGGCCAAUAAAGAUGAUGAAGAACUCUUGACUCCUUUAAAAUGGUAACAUGCACCUCAUGGCACCGGAAAUAUUGACUUGACGGAAAUCAUGAAAUGGUAGGAUAUUAUUAGUACUAGAUUGUCUCUAAAAACAGGUUUUAAGAUGGAAGAUAUCCAAUAUUUUGUGCAUUUUAUUAUCAAUAUCAUUAAGUUGAAAAAGUCUUUAGGUCACUGGUCAUUUGUCAAACUGAUUCAAUGGUUCAGAUCAUGAGCUAAACAAAAACUAAUAUUAUAAAUGUUUUAUUUAAUAAAAUUUAAAAUUAAUACAUUUAUAUUAAUACAUAAUUUAAUUUGAUACUACCAAUAGUAUUUUUUUUUUCAUAUUUGAUAUUAUCAAAUUAAAUUAUAGAUUAAUAUAAAUGUAUUAAUUUUAAAUUUUAUCAAACAAACAUAUAUAUGGAAUUCUCUAAAUAUCUUAAUUCCAUAUUAUUCCAUCUUUUCCCACUUGUAGAGGUGUGUGGAUGUCUUUAGGAGUUUUUAGAAGCUUCUAACACCUCACUCCUCUUCUAUAAAAGCUUAAGUGAGAAUUACUUUGAGCAUAUUGUGACAUUGUGCUCCAAUGUUAGUAAGAUGAACUAUCCAUCCUAUGUCAUAAAGAGAUGAAGAUAAAAAGGUGUUUAACCUCCACAUUCAACCAUGGUGCAUUGUUACUCCCGAGCACUAAUCAAAACACCUAAUAAGUAAUGUAAUGUAAUGUUCUGCCCCAAGAAAAAAAAUGUAGAAUUUAGAAAUUCAAUUGCGAUGUUCUCAACCUGAAAACUAAUUGGACCACGAUUUGAUCAAUGGUUGCACCAAUUGAUCUAGUUAGUUUGGUUUGGCUUUUAAAAUAUUGGUAAUAAUUAUAUUAUGGUCAUAAACCAAGUUCAUCUUAAGAAAUUAAUUGUUAAUUAUUUUCAUAUUAUUAAAAAAAAUUAAAAUGUUGUUCUUUCUUCAACAUGUGUUGUUUUGUGAAACCUUAAUUUCAUCAUUCAAUGCUCAUUGAAAAAGCUCUUGGUGCACUAAAAAAUCUACAUAAUUUGAAAAGAACCAUAAAAGCAAAGUGGAGAUGUAUAUAUAUAGAUACUACAUGUAGAUAUCUAUUUGUCUCUAUGUUCUAUGCUUGAUCACAAAUAAAUACAUAAUUUAAUUGAAACUAUCCCUUUAUAUGACUUUUCAAAGGAUUCAAAUGGUUAUUAUAAAUUAAUAAUGUAUAAGAUUUAGUUCAACAUGAUACUAUGAUAAAUUUUCAAUAAUUUAAAAAUAAUAAUUAAAUAAAUCGUAUCAAUUUGUUAGUAGAAAGUUGUUUUAUUAUGUGCUUUUACUUUUAUGAAAAGUAAGUUGUAACUUAUUAAAAAUUAGUCAUAUCUAUUUUUAAAAGUUAUAUGUCAAUAACUGAAUGAUAUUUGUAUAAAAAAUUAAGAGGGUUAAUGAGGAAGUCGAUUUUCGACAUAUUGACAUUCAAAUUUCUAAUUUUAAAGUUCCACAUAUUGAUGAUUCCUUUGGAGUAGGCUUAGGUGUUUCAUAAGUUGUCGUGUGGUACUUAGCCGGAUGAAAAUAACUCCCAAGUAGUCAUGUGACACUUAGACUAUUGGAAAUAAUCGAGAUGGCAGAGAAACAAUUCUACAAACUCUAAAAAAUAGGACAUGGAAAAUUUGAGAAAAGCCAAAGUUAUCCUCUAAGCCAAAUCUACUAGCAAAAAAAUCCAAAUUAUACAAGCAUAACAUAUCUAGAAACAAAAUUGUAAACUCAAGCCUAAUUCAGCAAACAAGGUCUAAAAUCAUACAAUUAAAUAGAAAGGAAAUUGUUAUAUCUAUGGUAAACCUAAACAUCAUGUUACUCAAUAUUACAUAGGAAGAGAAUUGAGAAAGCUAACGCUGAGGCUAAUAUGGUAGAUAUAGAGGUAAUACCUAUUGUAGUAUUCUCUUAGGGUAGAUAUGGUCACCAAAGUGAAGGAUUGGAUUGUAAACUUUGGGGCUACUAUGGACAUAUGUGUUAACAAAAGUGUAUUCACUUCCUAUAAUAUUGUAAAGGAAAGUAAGGAUCAAAUUCAUGGACAACUCUAGACCUUCUCCUAUGAUUGCAAAAGGAAAGUUCUCCUUAAACCAAUCUUAAGCAAAAUACUAAUUCGAAAUGUUAUCUUUAUAUGCUAGAUAUAAGUUGGAAUCUCAUGUUAGUUUUUCUACUUAGGAAAGUAGGAGUGAGAUAUUGUUUCAGUUAGACAAAAUUGUACUUACCAAAAUAAUGCAAUUAGGAAGGGUUCUUGUAAUUAGGGUUUGUUUAUAUAGAACAUUUUCAGAUCAUUUGUCAUAUUGUUUUUCUUCUACUUAUUUAGUUGAUUCUUGUGAUAUGUGGAAUGGUAAAUUAGGAUAUGCAAACCAUUCAUAUGUCAAUAAAAAAUAGAUAUUUGUUUGAUUCUUAACUAUCUUAAGAAAAUCGUGAUAGAUACGAACAUGUGUUAAAUCUAAAACCCCAAAAAGAACUUAUAAAAUUGUAAAUCGAGAAUCAUAGUUAUUAAGUCCAAUUUAAAGUAACUUAGAAGAUCUUAAAAAUACAAUGAUUAAGAAUGAUGAAAGAUUCAACAUAAUUUUUAUACAUGACUACUCAAGGUAUAUAAGGACAGUAAAAAUAAAGAUAAAAUACGCUAUAGUACCAAAAUGGUAUGUAUCACAUUCCAAAUUUAGAUUAAAAUAUGGUAAAAUGUAGGUCGUUGAAUGCGAGUGCAAAUAAUCGAUAUCAAAUUACAAGAGUAUAAGUAGAUGGGAUUCCGGCACAAACAACGGAGUGUGAAGAUAAGCCUACCACCACUUGAUUGAUUUAUUGAUGGUAAAAAAAGGUACACUGUAAUAUUAUUGGUGUACCCUAAUAUAUGAGAAGAGUCGAAAAUUAAAGAGGUAGGAAAAUUAAGAGGCGCUGGAAGACUUGGACGGUUCCAAGUCUUCCACCUAAUCAGCAACGAUGAACCCUUUGGACUGAAAUAUCAUUUUUUAGGAGGAACAAAUGAUGGCAAACCCUUUGUAAUCAAUUCGCUGCUCAGGGAGAAGUUCGAAUUGCUAAAGCUCCAAGCCAAAAUCCUGUGGCUUUCAACUAAUCUGCCGGUUGCAGCAGUGAAGCCAACAUACAUGUCAUCCAGAAAAACAUCAGAGAGAUUAAGAGCAACACUCAGUAAAGGGCGUUGAGGCCUCUUCUUGCCAGCCACAGCCAUGGUAACAUUGAUAUGAAGAUCCAAGUAAUCAAUCCAAACUUGAUAAUUCUUACCAUCAUUCAGCUUCAGCCUCUUGAAUGACGUCUCAUCUUCCUCGCUACUGCUCAUUUUCCCAUUACCGGACCAAUAACCAGCCUCAUGUGCGCUAAUAGAAGUGAGCGAAUUGACGUUGAUGCCAACAUGAUUAUCACUUAUAUCGCCAAAUUCUUCGUUUUUGAAGACGUCGAACUCGACGCCAAACACAUGGUUAUCCGGAUUCCCAUCGUUGGUACGGUUGAGAAAGCCUAGAUGUUGAGAAGAAGAGGCACCUUCGAUGCCAGUGACUGGUGCGAAGAGGAAAACGAUGCCAUGGAGAAGAUGAACGAGGUGGAAAAAGGAACCACAUGGGAGGAAUUCGGAGAUUUUGCCGGGAUUUGGAAUGGAUAAAGAGCUCUACCAAUUGCGAAGCUUGUGUGGUUUGUAAGAGUAAGGAUGCGAGACUCAAUGCCGGCAACACCGUAGAGUAACACAUCAGA
This 7661-nucleotide long non-coding RNA is filed under the name Vitis vinifera (wine grape). RNAcentral describes it as "long non-coding RNA (VVIN_LNC007459)". The record is from RNAcentral. Lineage: Eukaryota; Viridiplantae; Streptophyta; Magnoliopsida; Vitales; Vitaceae.